Long non-coding RNA from Hemicordylus capensis (graceful crag lizard), 6121 nucleotides. RefSeq lists it as uncharacterized. Lineage: Eukaryota; Metazoa; Chordata; Lepidosauria; Squamata; Cordylidae. The record is from RefSeq and is a predicted model, not a curated record. The transcript is spliced from 3 exons.
CUGGCCUUCCAAGUUUUAAAAAUGGUUCUUAAGUAUUUUAACUGGUUUUAAAUGGUUUUGAAUUGUUUUUAAAUUGUUUUAUAUUGUUUUAAGCAGUGUAUUUUAAAUGCUGUUUGUUUGUAUCUCUAUAUAUAAUUCUCCUGGGUAUGCCUUGGAAUGUGCGUCCCAGAGCCCAGCUGACUGGCUGGGUGGUGGACGCGCCUGAUUGGCUGAGGUGCACCCAGGAGGAUUGGUUGCCGCCGCCACGGCCUGGAUGUGGAGGCCAAAGGUGGCAGGCCUGGCCCAGCAACGGAGGCAAGGCCCAGGAGGGGGGAAAGAAAGGGGGGGGCAGAAGUGGCAGUGAGGAGGAGAGGAGGCUGGGCCUGGAAGCAGAGACUGGAGCAGAAGUGGGGGAAGAGCUGCUACGCACCUACCAGCAGAAGCACACAUGGGCACAAGGAAAGUACUUUUCUGUUUCCUUCAAUCAAGCACAUAGCAGCUUCAGAGAGGCAACUUUGAUCAAGAACAGCAAAGAAGCCUGUGUUAGUAUACAAUGAGGAGACCUCUGUAGCAGAGAAUGAAAAUUGGCACUGCUAGGAAGCCAUGUUGGUUGCUCUGAGAAAGUGGAUUUAAGAGGCUGCUAGGUUCAUGUUCUGUCAGAGUAUGCCGUAUAACUUGGCAUUUAUGGAUCCAAGUCCUUAAAAGUGAUUGGCUAUCUUGGUCAAUAAUCUAGUAAAUACUAUUGGUCAGUAGCUUCAGGAUCCUGAAGAUUCCAAGGACAUGUUAUAGAAAUCCAAGUGCAGAAGCCUGAGAGGGGAAGUUCACAUGGGAUUUAUCCAAGAGAUGGCGACAAGAAAAAGCACGAGGAAGAAGGCUGAGAAGGUAGAAACAAGGGACUGAAGAAGAGGCCAGAUUGAAGAUAGGGGUUGGUCAGAGGGCUUCAAAUAUUUAUUGUGAAGCCAGUAGAUUUUCCAAAUAAGAGAGGACUUCCACAUCAUGCCAUAGUAAAAACAAGUUGUUCUAGUAAGAACUAAUCUGCCUACUUUCCUUUCACUCUCUCUACAACUGGACCAAAUUUGGUACAAAUCAAAGUCCACAAGUUAGUUCUCUUGAGCCUCAAAUGUUUAUACAUCUGCGAUCUUGAAUCAGGGUGGAUGACAUCACAAACUAUGCCACUGAGGUGUCCCUGUGUGUAACUCACUACAACUGUACCUAAUGUGGUUCAAAUCAGUUAGACUGUCCACAAGUUAGCCCACUUGUGCCUCAAAAAUUCAUGUGUCCGCCAUCUGGGAGCGGGGUAGAUUACAUCACAAACUAUGCCAUUGAGGUUUCCCCUUGUGCACCUACAGCUGUAGCAAAUUUGGUUCAAAUCUGUUAGGUGGUUCACAAGUUAGCCCACUUGUACCACAAAUGUUUUAUGUUUCUGCCAUCUUGAAUCGGGGAGGAUGACAUCAUAAAACUACGUAGCUGAGGUAUCCCUAAGUGUCCCUACAGCUCUAGCAAAUUUGGUUCAAAUCAGUUAGGUAAUUCACAAGUUAGCCCAAGUGUGCCUCAAAAGUUUACGCAUCUGCCAUCUUGAUCGGUGUGGAUGACAUAAUCACAAACUAUGCCAUUGAAGUGUUCCUUUAUGUCACUCACUAUAACUGUACCGAAUUUGGUUCAAAUUGGUUAGAUAGUUCAAGUUAGUCCACUUGCACCUCAAACAUUCAUGAGUCCGCCAUCUUGGAUUGGGGUAGAUGACAUCACUAGCUUUUUACACAGGCCUUGAUAUGAUUACAUCUACUGCUGCUUCUUUGUAUUUUGUAUGUUUGUCUUAUGCUUGCAUUUUAAAUCUUUUUAGUCCGAUUUAUGUUUUUAUAUUUUAGCUUAAUAUUUUAAUUGUGUAAUUUUUAUAGUUUUUGUUUAAUUUGUGUGUGAAUGGCCUUGGGAUUGUUUUAAUGAAAGGCAGUAUACAAACUUAAUCAAUAAAUCACAAACUAUGCCAUUGAGGUUUCCCCAUGUGCCCCUACAGCUGUAGCAAAUUUGGUUCAAAUCAGUUAGGCAGUUCACAAGUUAGCCCACUUGAACCUCAAAAGUUUGCACAUCUGCCAUCUUGAAUCAGGGUGGAUGACAUCAUCACAAACUACACCAUUGAGGUGUCCCUUCAACUGUAUCUGAUGUGGUUCAUAUUGGUCCAGGCACUGCGAAGUUGAUGGUGGGGGGACAGACACAUGGAAUGCCAGGUGAUCUCAUAAGCCUACUGGAAAGUAGGCUAUAGUAACUAUCAAAGCUGAACCCUAGUACAGAAGUUCCCAUUGUCAUAGUUUGUACUGAUACAAUUCAUUGCUAUUGUACUGCAUACCAGCCAACCUAAUUUACUCUUUAAAAUGAUCAGAUUAACAUUUUAAUCUAAACCUUACUAUCAUGAUCGAUCCAGCAAUCACUUUACAUGCAUUACUUCAACACAGUAAUACAAAGUACAGUUUAAUUUUAAAAAUCCUAGAAGCCUACUCAAACGAACAAGGACACAUCAUCUUAAUUGGUCAGAGGCACUACUGCAGGAAUAAACAAAUACCUACAUCAGCAAGAUCUCAUUAUCUUGAUGAGACACGUCGUCCUUUUACCCACAUAUUAAAAAGAAGCCAUGAUCAAAAAUAUUUAAAAUAAUGUAGCUUAACACUCAAAUAUAAAUCUGAGUUAGGACACUACUAGCAAGUAGGGAUGUGCAUGAAUCAAUUUUUUCGAUUUGAUUUGUACCCAAAUCAAAUCACACCCUAUUUGUUUUGGGUCUGAAUCUGGCCAGCUAGCACAGGGGCGAUUUGAGAAGAGAACUGGUCUUGUGGUAGCAAGCAUGACUUGUCCCCAUAGCUAAGCAGGGUCUGCCCUGCUUGCAUAUGAAUGGGAGACUUGAUGUGUGAGCACUGCAAAAUAUUCCCCUCAGGGGAUGAAGCCGCUCUGGGAAGAGCAGAAGGUUCCAAGUUCCCUCCCUGGCUUCUCCAAGAUAGGGCUGAGAGAGAUUCCUGCCUGCAACCUUGGAGAAGCUGCUGCCAGUCUGUGAAGACAAUACUGAGCUAGAUAGACCAAUGGUCUGACUCAGUAUAUGGCAGUUUCCUAUGUUCCUAUGUUUCGUCCACAAAUCUCCCAAAACAAAUCAUUUUGUACCCAAAUUGAUUUGCACAGACAGCAGGCGCAGGCAGUGAUUCUCUCAGCAGCAGGAAGGGGAUGAAAAAAGAUCUCUCCUCUUUUCCUCAAUCAGGAAAGCAGGAACAAAAAGCAGAGAAUCCACUCCAGGCAGCAGGCAGGCAAGGCAAGACAAAGCUCCUCUGGCUCUCUCUCGCUCUCUUCUCCCACGAGGCAGAAAGGUGGCUAGCUACCUCCUUAAGUACAUUUGAAAAUCCAUCUUUCAAACUCCCCCCACCCUUGUCCCUUCUUUGACCCUUCCCCUAGCCAAUAAGGGAUCAGUCACUCCUGGCAAUACAAUAUUUGAAUGGAAACAUGCCAAUCUGGAACCAGGGGGAAAUCGCCAGCCAAUCGUUGCACACUGUAAGUCACAAAUCUGAAACAUGGGAGGGAGGAAUUUUCAAACAAGUUUCCUGACACAAAAUGGAGACAGCAAGAGGGUUCGCAACAAAAUGGAGGUCUGCAUUUACAAAUUUUCCAGGUCCAAAAUCUGAGCGAUUUGUUUUGGACCCAAAUCGAUUCAUACAUCCCUACUAGCAAGUAACAGACUGCGUAGGGAGCAUGGGGAGAUGACUGUUCCCCUGCUGCCAAGGCCUGGUUGGGGGGGCCAAGGCACCCUCCUCUAGGGGUGUGCAUGGAACCGCAGAGCUGCGGUCCGGCACUGUGGAGUGGGUUCCUUUAAGGGUGGGGAGGGUUUACUUACCCCUCCCGCCGCUUUGCCCCCUCCAGCGCGCAUAUUUACUGUAAUAAUUGGGGCGGCAGGAUACCUCCCUGCCGCCCCUUGUCCCUCUGAAUGCCGCCUCCAGGACGGGGUGGGCACGCGCGGGGCUCUGAGAAGGAAAUAUCCUGAGGACUCACGUUUUUAAAGUUAGCUCCCGAUGGCAUCAUGGCAGUGGUAAACAAACCCCAAUGAGAAGCUGGCACAGCACCGAGCCGGCCUCCGGCGCCUCCCCGCUUGGCGGCUCCCCCAUCCUGAGCCACCGCCAGCAGCCAAUGCGAAGAGCUCCGCAAGAGAGAACGCGCCGACGUGCCCAGCGCACUCUCACUUCCGGCUCCCAAGCGACUUCCCCCACACACACACAGUGUGGCUGCCUGCUUCUCCUCCUCCCAUCGGGCCACGCUGUGUGUGGGGCAAUGGCCCCGCCCCUUCAUGUCUGACAUCAGACACAAAGGUCUUGGCUCUGUGCAUACAAUUGUGAAGUCUCGGGGGCGGGGGAGCCGCCAGAGGACUUUGUGCUCCAGCCGCAGCUAAGCUCCUGACACCCCUGACACAUACUCUAAUUUAUCUACCAAUACUAAACUCAGACAAGCUCAAGAUGCCACACACUGUAUUGUUUAAGCUCAAAUAGUCUAUUUGUGCUGUUCAUUAAUUGUCUAUGAUUUGGUACCUGAAAAUUGGCCUCCAAAUGUAAUGACUUCAUUUCAUGAGCAUACUUAUAACCAAAUAUUUGUCAAUCUAAGCACAGCACAAAUCAAGUAAUUAAGAUGUUACAUGUCUUCUAUUUGCCCUCGUAACUAUCAGUAAGGAUUGUACAUAAGUGACAUUACUUACAGCUAAGACAGGAAAACAGGAUCUCUCAUUUUCAUCAAUUUACACAUUUGUAACUAAAUACAAUGAAUGAUAAUUAUAUUUAUGAAAUAUUUAAAAAAGAAUAGCAUAGCAUUUGGUCUGUAAAAGAAACUACCACCAAACACUUGAUACCAGAAGCACAAGAACUGUUAAUAGAUAAAUGUUCACUGAGACAACAGGAAAGAAAAACACAUUAGUAGGUAUUUCUUGUUACAUUCAAGGGAUAGCAUACAAACCAAUUGGCAGAGUGGCAUGCUACUGAUGGAAGCUCCUUCGAUAAACAGAAGAGGAGCUGCAUUCAUGCAACAGGUCUCCACAACCAGGAGUCCUAGCAUGAUCAUAACACUCCUUACAAUCAGAGAGGAGCUCCCAUCAACAUCACACUGAUGUGCCAAAGAUUUAGAUGCCAUGCAAGUAGUUUUCACAUUUUAGACAAUUUUCUAAUACUAUUCUAAAGCGCAGAAUCAAAACCUUGAUAUACUCACCUGAUUUUCUUGCCUUCAUAGCAAGAACAGCUACCAAUUCUCUCUGCACCUAACAGACCAAAGAAGGGAAAAUGUUACAGCUGUCAUAAUAAUGGGAAGUAGUUAUAGACACAUACUGCCUUUUAUUAUUAUUAAUUGAGGGGUCCACAAAUUAAUUACAAAGGAAACUUCAAGAAGAAACCACCAGCCUUCUUUGGGCUCCAAGAACAAUUGCUACCUUUUUUUAUCCAGGCUUUUGGCCAAUGAGUAGCCCUCAGAUCAGAUCUCCUUUUAGUGGUCAUAGCUGUGUAUUAUUUUGAUAAUGUUUUAAUUCAAACUUAUGUUUGUAACUUGUUGUUUACCACCUUAGAGGUCUUAGGAUGAAGCACGGUAUAGAAAUGUACAUAAUAAAUAUUAUGAGUCUGGGGCUCCUGAUUCCAUGACCAGACUAAUUAUUCUUAUGUCCAAAUGGAAUUCUGCCUAAGGGAAAUUCUGGCCUCAUUCAAGCAUUGUAUUUCUGGUCCUUCAGCCAUGGUUUAGAGCAUCAUAAAUGAGCUACAGACCUACAUGCUUCUUCAUUCUAUUCCCUCCUCCCUCAUGGCUCAAACCAUUGUUUGCCGUGAACUGCAAAAUGUGGUUUGAGCAAUCCCUUCAAAACAGAAUCAAAGCAUUUGGAUCAAAUUAUAGGUUAUAAUAAUGCUUGAGGAAUCCUUCUGUUAAAUUGGGGGGGGGGAGACAAGGACAAAGUGCUCAAGCUAGUUGCUUGUUCCUGAUCUGAAUGCAGCUGUUAUAUUCAUUUAAAAAAAAUCUCCUUGUUUCAACACAAUUACGAUUAAUGGUAUAAAUACAACUGCCAUACUGACAUAAACUAACAUGGCUAUACAUGUUUGGGGAGGGGCUGAGCAUUUUGCAAAUGUAUUGUCUUACAUAUUAAAUUUAGUUCCGGAAA